GGCUCAAUGGUCUAGUGGUAUGAUUCGCGCUUCGGGUUGAUCACCCUUGAUUUGAAUACAAAUCAUGUGCGAGGUCUCGGGUUCGAUCCCCGAUUGAGCCC
This is a non-coding RNA of Thermothelomyces thermophilus ATCC 42464, 101 nucleotides long. NCBI's taxonomy places the organism in Eukaryota, Fungi, Ascomycota, Sordariomycetes, Sordariales, Chaetomiaceae. The record is from the annotation of a RefSeq genome assembly.